CCUACGGGUGGCAGCAGUGGGGAAUAUUGGGCAAUGGGCGCAAGCCUGACCCAGCAACGCCGCGUGAAGGAAGAAGGCUUUCGGGUUGUAAACUUCUUUUCUGAGGGACGAAGAAAGUGACGGUACCUCAGGAAUAAGCCACGGCUAACUACGUGCCAGCAGCCGCGGUAAUACGUAGGUGGCAAGCGUUAUACGGAUUUAUUGGGUGUAAAGGGCGUGUAGGCGGGAAAGCAAGUCAGAUGUGAAAACUCAGGGCUCAACCCUGAGCCUGCAUUUGAAACUGUUUUUCUUGAGUGCUGGAGAGGCAAUCGGAAUUCCGUGUGUAGCGGUGAAAUGCGUAGAUAUACGGAGGAACACCAGUGGCGAAGGCGGAUUGCUGGACAGUAACUGACGCUGAUGCUCGAAAGUGUGGGUAUCAAACAGGAUUAGAUACCCCUGUAGUC
RNAcentral lists this ribosomal RNA (443 nucleotides) under uncultured bacterium. RNAcentral's name for it is "partial 16S ribosomal RNA". It matches the Rfam family "Bacterial small subunit ribosomal RNA", at positions 338 to 795 of the family's 1533-position model. The record is from RNAcentral.